UCAUAGUUGUGAUCGCCAAUGAUGACUGAGGUUUCCACUGGGGAUUCUAGUGGGACUUGGAUGCAAAUACGAGCAUACCUUCCUCUCUGGGUGGAGGAUGUGCACUGGUCAAUUUUUAGGAGUUUGCCCAGCUUCCUUCCAGCCUUUUUUAGUAUUGUCUUGUCGUAGAACUCUGUAGGGAGUUGUGGAAGCCUUAUCCAGAUGGCAGUGGGGGUGAGAGUUUUCUCUUGAGGAACGAAUUUUGGUUCCAAUUUUUUGACUGAGAGGAAGUGACCUG
Molecule: long non-coding RNA, 277 nt
Filed under: Nicotiana benthamiana
Lineage: Eukaryota; Viridiplantae; Streptophyta; Magnoliopsida; Solanales; Solanaceae
Description: long non-coding RNA (NBEN_LNC020602)
Source: RNAcentral